UAAAAAGUAACAAAUCUAAUAAAAAAAUUAAAAUGAAACAAAAUUAAAAAAAAAAUUACCAUUAAUCACAACAAACAAGCAAUAGAAUUAAUCUAAUUAGUAAAGAUUGGGGCUCCCCUUCCUUAUUAAAUAGAAUUUGACUGUAUUGGAAGCACUACAUGAUUACUUAUCUUGAAUGCACCAAGCAAAUAUAGGAGAGUGCACUCUUAAGAUCACCCAAGAAGAAAAUCUCAUCUUACUAUGUGAAAGUUGAGUUGAAGAUUCCCCUUAAUCAAAUCAAAUCAACCCACUAGAACAAUCCUGUCCACCCAAGAACACUAGGAAAAACAGAGAAAAACCAAAAUUGCAGACGCUGCUGACCACCACCUUUGCUCACCAUCACUGGAGAAGUUGAAUUUGAGAUUGAACCCAGUUAAUAUGACCAGCAUUCCAAGGAGCACCAAACAUUGCCAAGCUCAAACUGUCCAUUUUCUAAACCAAAUAUGCAACACAGCUCAAUUGAACGAAGAAGGAUGCCGCAGAGCUCACUGACCAUCAACGAUCAAUAGAAUGACCUCCCUAACUGUAGUGUAGGAACAAGUCCUAUAGUUAUUGAAUAGCCAAAGCAUGGACUAUCACUCUAUCGACGUUGAGCACCCAAAUUGACUCAAGAAUAGACAUUAAAUAGCUGCACAAGUAUAAGCAACAAAUACCCAUAUCCAUGAAUUUAAAACCAACAAACCUAGGAAACAAACCAACCUAAACCCAUGAAGAACAACUUCCUCUUUGUAGAUCAUCGCUAGAAAACCUCACCAAGACAAUUUAGAUAUGCAACAUACCUUUAAAAAUAAAACUCUACAAAACCAAAUCAGGGUGGGGAAGGAACCGAAGCUUAGUUGGUGAUAUCGCUCUCCAUCUCCUACCCUUCAAAACACUAAAAUAAAUUUGACUAAUUCCUAGAGAAAACUUGAGAAAAGAUUCAAGAGAAAUUUCUCUCUCUAGAUUUCUUGAGGGAGUUAGCUGUGUUAUAGAUUUCACUUUUCAAUCAAAAGCCCAUGGCAUUGCUC
Molecule: unclassified non-coding RNA, 1046 nt
Filed under: Hevea brasiliensis (rubber tree)
Lineage: Eukaryota; Viridiplantae; Streptophyta; Magnoliopsida; Malpighiales; Euphorbiaceae
Source: RNAcentral